Sorghum bicolor (sorghum) is the source of this 2753-nucleotide long non-coding RNA. RefSeq lists it as uncharacterized. Lineage: Eukaryota; Viridiplantae; Streptophyta; Magnoliopsida; Poales; Poaceae. The transcript is spliced from 2 exons. The record is from RefSeq and is a predicted model, not a curated record.
ACUUGGACAUAGCUUUCCGUAAAAUACAAUGCAAAAACAAGUGUGUGAUUUCGUAGUAGAGACGUGAGUGGAUUAUGAAAGGGAAAGGCAAUAAUUAUGUGUGCUUGUCACAGUAUAAUUGAUUUGGAUGCAUUUAUAAUUGAUUUAGAUACAUAACUGGUAAGUGAGCAGUUGGAGUAAAGCGUAUUUAGUGUGAGAUAGAAUUAUAUGAAAUUUGAGUUGUUGUUCUGCUGUUCGAUGAAUUUGUCUCUGGCCACCGCCCUUCCCUGCGCCUGUGCCUGCGGCGUUCCGUCCCCAUCGUCCUGGCGUCUGGCUUGUCGCCCCGUUGAUUCUCACGCGCCGUCUCGCCAUUCCUCAUUGAAGGGCAGUGUUAGCACUGGAAGCCCUCGUGUUGGAGUCUGACGACGAGGAUGAGAGCGAGGAAGCGGAGGAGUCUGGAGCAGACUUGUUCCAGGGUGAGAUGUGGGCGGGGAUCGCCGACGACCAGGUGUCCACCCACCUCGGGAUCCAUCGGAUCUCGCUCGGCGUACCAUACCAGCGUGAUGAGCUAUGGCGACUGCGGGUCCAGCUCCGGCACCGGUACCGGUGCGGGCGUGGAGUCCGUCUCGCUAAAUCUCGUCGCUCACGCAGUGGCGGGCGUCGGGGACCUGCGAUAUCGUAAGUCGUGUUGCCUGGUUAGCCGGGUUUUCGUGUGCGCCAAGGCCGUGUCUUGCCACGCCUCGCGUGUGGUCCGCCGGAAGGCGCUCCCGCGGGUUCUGCGCGCGUUCCCGGCGCUCGCCUUGCUUGAGCUCGAGGAGCUGCCGGAGCAGUGGUGUCGUUAAAGGAUCGCCUGGAUCUGCAAGGAGCUCCUCGCCUACAAGCACUUAAACUUCAGCCGCAUCGUUUACAGUCUGCAAAAGUGGAUGACCCAGGACGAGGCCAUGUACGUCACCGUCCAGUGCCUCCGCAUCUGCCACAACGACGCUGCAUUCUGGGUUAAUAUUCACUGUUUAGCAUCGUGCGUUGUUGUUUCCUUCCUAUAGUUUCUUUUUCCAAAUUAAAUAUAUCUAUGUGUGUAUAAGCGAAAGUUAUUGCUCACUGACUGUUCGGUGAAUUGUCUGUAUCAGUAGAUGCUUUGGAGAAACUUCAAAGUGGCUUCCUCAGUAGCAGGAAGUUAUGAAGCCACCAAAACUUGUGAGCACCAAGCUGGGUGAAGGGCAACGUGAGAUUUUGGCCGACUUGCUCUUUGGAGGCACUCUAACAGAAUCUUAUGCAUAGAGGGGAUCUACAUUGCCAACUUUAAGUUCUAGGAAGAUUCUAAUGCUCAUUCAGUUCUAAGGGUGCAUAUUCAUGAACAUUUCUUUGAAUGGCUGUUUUCAGCAUGCAGAUCAGUAAAUAGAGACAGGGAGAUGCCUUAUCGAUUUUUAACCAUACCUCAUGCACAUUUUGGCUUCUUUGCAGAUUAGCUGUUUCAUAAAGGCCAGCUUGUUGGAGACAAUAUUAAAAUAGAAGACAGAAGCAAGUACAGUGAAUAGAUCUUUGAUGGAUUGGGCAUGAGUGGUAAUGGAUCUAAGAGCUGGCUGCAUAUCUUCGAAUAGUUGGUAUGCGCAAUCACAAAGUUCUUCGCAUGACUGCAUACAUUUCUUAUGAGCUGUGAACUUAGCAUUGUAGAAAUCUUUAAGCUCUAAAAUCAUUAGAUAACUGAAAUCUGGCAUAGAGACCAUAUUUUCCAAGCUGCUAAGAUCAUGUACGUGAAUUCGUCCUCCUUGGGUUGUAUCAGCUGCAUACACAUAGUAGACAUGAGAUGUGUUUGUAAUAUGGUGGGUCAUAUAAACACAUGGUGAGUGGAGGGAAUAUAAAAAAGUUGAGAACAAUUUUAAGUUGGUUAUGCACCUGUAGUGGAGGAAAUAUUGUGGUGCUCUUGAAUUAUUUUACGAAUGUAUUGCUGCGACACUUUGCCAUGGCCUAUGAGAUUGUUCAUGUAAAUCUUGGGUUGCCUCGGUGGAAUAACUGUAGUAGUAGCUGUAAUGUAAGCGUAUGGAAAAAGCUUGAUAAAAUACUCAAUACAAGAAGCUGCCUUUGUUUACAAAAAGAGUGUGUGUUGUAUGUGGCUAUGAUUAUGUAGAGGCAAAAUUGUAUGUAGCGUACCUGUGUCAGUGCGUCGAAUGAUCCAAGGUAGGUCAAAAUUAGCAUGCUCAGGACACCAUGGCACCAUGUCUAGAAUGAUAUUUGCUCGUUUUAUCAUUCGAGAGUAAAGAACAGCGAGUUGGAUGUCAGAUGAACCUAGACCGAUAGUGAAAUUGGUAGAAGAAAAUCCAAUGCUGAGGAUGUUACGAUAUUGUUGAAGUGCCUCUGUAAUAAGUAUGGCGAUAGUAUAUGGACUAAAACUGCAUGGAUCACCAAGCCUAAUUCUUGCGAUGAUUGAUGUGUCCCGUCGUGAAGCUGCUGAUGGAAAGUAUAUGGAGAUGUAUUAGUUACAUGAUUGUAAUGGUAGUAAUAGACAGAAUUUAAUUUAGAUUUUGUACUUUGAUCCGACGCCAUUACAAUUCCGUGGAUGAUUUGGAUACAGUAUUUGGGUUCUCUGUUCAACAUGAAAAACAUGGAAUCAUGUUAUGCUACAGAGAGUAGUUAGUCAAUAUUAAAAUAUAAAGCGUAGGGUAUUAUAUAACUUAGUAUAUGAUUGUUUGCUAUAAUGCCUUUAUUGUUUUCGAUGUAAAGAAGUAGCAUGCAAUUUGUAGAAGGAAAAGAAUAAAUGCAUUUUUUUAUGCUAUGAA